GGUUGGUCUGAAGGUAGCGAGUUUAUUUCAAUGGACUGUUCACAGUCUGUUACAGAUCGAACUCCUUGUUCUAUUCCUUCCCCUGUCUUACUGCUGCACUUGACUUGUCAAAA
This is an unclassified non-coding RNA of Gorilla gorilla gorilla (western lowland gorilla), 113 nucleotides long. It matches the Rfam family "Y RNA". From Rfam's summary of the family: Y RNAs are components of the Ro ribonucleoprotein particle (Ro RNP), in association with Ro60 and La proteins. The Y RNAs and Ro60 and La proteins are well conserved, but the function of the Ro RNP is not known. Lineage: Eukaryota; Metazoa; Chordata; Mammalia; Primates; Hominidae. The record is from Ensembl.